CCUACGGGGUGCUGCAGUCGAGAAUCAUUCACAAUGGGGGAAACCCUGAUGGUGCGACGCCGCGUGGGGGAAUGAAGGUCUUCGGAUUGUAAACCCCUGUCAUGUGGGAGCAAAUUAAAAAGAUAGUACCACAAGAGGAAGAGACGGCUAACCCUGUGCCAGCAGCCGCGGUAAUACAGAGGUCUCAAGCGUUGUUCGGAAUCACGGGGCGUAAGGCGUGCGUAGGCUGUUUCGUAAGUCGUGUGUGAAAGGCGCGGGCUCAACCCGCGGACGGCACAUGAUACUGCGAGACUAGAGUAAUGGAGGGGGAACCGGAAUUCUCGGUGUAGCAGUGAAAUGCGUAGAUAUAGAGAGGAACACUCGUGGCGAAGGCGGGUUCCUGGACAUUAACUGACGCUGAGGCACGAAGGCCAGGGGAGCGAAAGGGAUUAGAUACCCCGGUAGUC
RNAcentral lists this ribosomal RNA (446 nucleotides) under uncultured bacterium. RNAcentral describes it as "partial 16S ribosomal RNA". It matches the Rfam family "Bacterial small subunit ribosomal RNA", at positions 338 to 795 of the family's 1533-position model. The record is from RNAcentral.